RNAcentral lists this unclassified non-coding RNA (250 nucleotides) under plant metagenome. RNAcentral describes it as "partial contains small subunit ribosomal RNA, internal transcribed spacer 1, and 5.8S ribosomal RNA". The record is from RNAcentral.
GUAGGUGAACCUGCGGAAGGAUCAUUACAAGAAAUUAGUUAGUGGUUAACGGAAAGGUUAACAAACUUAAUUAAUGAAAAGUACACACCAGUGUUGUUGUUAAUAAAUUUAAAGGAGGAGAAGUGUGAAUACGGUUAGUGUUCCAUUAACCUCAAAAUAAUACAAAACUUAACCAAACCAGUUAACAAACAAACAAACAAACAUGUAUGCAAAUACAAACCAAAAUAUUAUACAACUGUUAGCAACGGAU